UCUGCCUUAUCGGCAAGCGGUCCCAUUAGAGUGCCCAACUUAAUGAUGGCAACUAAUGGCAAGGGUUGCGCUCGUUGCGGGACUUAACCCAACAUCUCACGACACGAGCUGACGACAGCCAUGCAGCACCUGUCACCGCGUCCCCGAAGGGAAUUCACUACUUUCAUAGCUAUGCGCGGGAUGUCAAGCCUAGGUAAGGUUUUUCGCGUUGCGUCGAAUUAAACCACAUACUCCACCGCUUGUGCGGGCCCCCGUCAAUUUCUUUGAGUUUUAACCUUGCGGCCGUACUUCCCAGGCGGGACACUUAAUGCGUUAGCGACGACACCGAGAGGGCAAGACCUCCCGACAUCUAGUGUCCAUAGUUUACGGCGUGGACUAC
RNAcentral lists this unclassified non-coding RNA (379 nucleotides) under uncultured delta proteobacterium. RNAcentral's name for it is "contains 16S-23S intergenic spacer region". Lineage: Bacteria; Deltaproteobacteria. The record is from RNAcentral.